Molecule: long non-coding RNA, 98 nt
Organism: Thalassophryne amazonica
Lineage: Eukaryota; Metazoa; Chordata; Actinopteri; Batrachoidiformes; Batrachoididae
Exons: 3
Source: RefSeq, a predicted model, not a curated record
GCAUCCAAGUCAACGGACCCCAGCUAAGUGAACCAACCAAAUGUUCCUCAGGGCUUUGGUGUCAAUUGAUGCAAAGUGGCUACAUACAUAUAUGUUUG